RNAcentral lists this long non-coding RNA (262 nucleotides) under Ananas comosus (pineapple). RNAcentral describes it as "long non-coding RNA (ACOM_LNC003822)". The record is from RNAcentral. Lineage: Eukaryota; Viridiplantae; Streptophyta; Magnoliopsida; Poales; Bromeliaceae.
CUCUCUCUCUAGAUUUGAUCGUGUUUGAGGGAGAUCGCGACUCGAGCUCGGGAGAUUUUCGACGUAAAUUCAGAGGGCCGUUUGAGUGUGCGUGCGUCGCGGUUGUGUCGUUGGAGGCUGGACGAGCGCGUGAUUUCCUCUCAUUUUGACCUCUCGCCUCAGUUGGACGAGCUUUUCGAGGUAGGUUGAAGUUUACCGAAAUCGUCGGAAUAUCUUCUAAGUUUUGAAUAUCGUCGGCAUGUAUCAUUGGUUUAUUUUCUUG